This 75-nucleotide antisense RNA is filed under the name Streptomyces sp. 3211.6. RNAcentral describes it as "ASpks TB sRNA". It matches the Rfam family "ASpks TB sRNA". Lineage: Bacteria; Bacillati; Actinomycetota; Actinomycetes; Kitasatosporales; Streptomycetaceae. The record is from RNAcentral. RNAcentral also lists the same sequence under 1 other name.
CUUGAGGGAGCCCAGCCACAGCGGCUCACCGCCCUCGCGGCCCUGCCCGUACGUGGCGAGCAGCGCCUGCGCCUC